RNAcentral lists this ribosomal RNA (905 nucleotides) under Fonsecaea pedrosoi. RNAcentral describes it as "LSU rRNA". It matches the Rfam family "Eukaryotic large subunit ribosomal RNA", at positions 36 to 961 of the family's 3401-position model. The record is from RNAcentral. Lineage: Eukaryota; Fungi; Ascomycota; Eurotiomycetes; Chaetothyriales; Herpotrichiellaceae.
UAGCAUAUCAAUAAGCGGAGGAAAAGAAACCAACAGGGAUUGCCUCAGUAACGGCGAGUGAAGCGGCAACAGCUCAAAUUUGAAAUCUGGCCUCUUGGGGUCCGAGUUGUAAUUUGUAGAGGAUGUUUCGGGUACCGCCUCGGUUUAAAUUUCUUGGAACAGAAUGUCAAAGAGGGUGAGAAUCCCGUCUUGGACCGGCGGUAGGGCCUAUGUGAAACUCCUUCGACGAGUCGAGUUGUUUGGGAAUGCAGCUCAAAAUGGGUGGUAAAUUUCAUCUAAAGCUAAAUAUUGGCCAGAGACCGAUAGCGCACAAGUAGAGUGAUCGAAAGAUGAAAAGCACUUUGAAAAGAGAGUUAAACAGUAUGUGAAAUUGUUGAAAGGGAAGCGCUUGCAACCAGACUUGAGCGCGGCGGUUCCCCCUUGCUUCUGCUUGGGUUACUCCGCCGUGUCCAGGCCAACAUCGGUUCUGGGGGUCGGUCAAAGGCUCUGGGAAUGUAUCUACCCACGGGUAGACUUAUAGACCAGGGUGUCAUGCGACCUCCCGGGACCGAGGAACGCGCUUCGGCUCGGAUGUUGGCGUAAUGGUUGUCAGCGACCCGUCUUGAAACACGGACCAAGGAGUCUAACAUCUAUGCGAGUGUUUGGGUGUCAAACCCGGAACGCGGAAUGAAAGUGAACGGAGGUAGGAAGCUUCGGCUGCACUAUCGACCGAUCCUGAAGUUUACGGAUGGAUUUGAGUAAGAGCAUAGCUGUUGGGACCCGAAAGAUGGUGAACUAUGCCUGAAUAGGGUGAAGCCAGAGGAAACUCUGGUGGAGGCUCGCAGCGGUUCUGACGUGCAAAUCGAUCGUCAAAUUUGGGUAUAGGGGCGAAAGACUAAUCGAACCAUCUGGUAGCUGGUUCCUGC